RNAcentral lists this ribosomal RNA (496 nucleotides) under uncultured bacterium. Its description in RNAcentral is "partial 16S ribosomal RNA". It matches the Rfam family "Bacterial small subunit ribosomal RNA", at positions 29 to 507 of the family's 1533-position model. The record is from RNAcentral.
AUGAACGCUGGCGGCGUGCCUAAUACAUGCAAGUCGAGCGAACGGACGAGAAGCUUGCUUCUCUGAUGUUAGCGGCGGACGGGUGAGUAACACGUGGAUAACCUACCUAUAAGACUGGGAUAACUUCGGGAAACCGGAGCUAAUACCGGAUAAUAUUUUGAACCGCAUGGUUCAAAAGUGAAAGACGGUCUUGCUGUCACUUAUAGAUGGAUCCGCGCUGCAUUAGCUAGUUGGUAAGGUAACGGCUUACCAAGGCAACGAUGCAUAGCCGACCUGAGAGGGUGAUCGGCCACACUGGAGCUGAGACACGGUCCAGACUCCUACGGGAGGCAGCAGUAGGGAAUCUUCAGCAAUGGGCGAAAGCCUGACGGAGCAACGCCGCGUGAGUGAUGAAGGUCUUCGGAUCGUAAAACUCUGUUAUUAGGGAAGAACAUAUGUGUAAGUAACUGUGCACAUCUUGACGGUACCUAAUCAGAAAGCCACGGCUAACUACGUG